RNAcentral lists this ribosomal RNA (642 nucleotides) under Erwinia persicina. RNAcentral's name for it is "bacterial SSU rRNA". It matches the Rfam family "Bacterial small subunit ribosomal RNA", at positions 863 to 1504 of the family's 1533-position model. Lineage: Bacteria; Pseudomonadati; Pseudomonadota; Gammaproteobacteria; Enterobacterales; Erwiniaceae. The record is from RNAcentral.
AGUCGACCGCCUGGGGAGUACGGCCGCAAGGUUAAAACUCAAAUGAAUUGACGGGGGCCCGCACAAGCGGUGGAGCAUGUGGUUUAAUUCGAUGCAACGCGAAGAACCUUACCUGGCCUUGACAUCCACGGAAUUCGGCAGAGAUGCCUUAGUGCCUUCGGGAACCGUGAGACAGGUGCUGCAUGGCUGUCGUCAGCUCGUGUUGUGAAAUGUUGGGUUAAGUCCCGCAACGAGCGCAACCCUUAUCCUUUGUUGCCAGCACGUAAUGGUGGGAACUCAAAGGAGACUGCCGGUGAUAAACCGGAGGAAGGUGGGGAUGACGUCAAGUCAUCAUGGCCCUUACGGCCAGGGCUACACACGUGCUACAAUGGCGCAUACAAAGAGAAGCGACCUCGCGAGAGCAAGCGGACCUCAUAAAGUGCGUCGUAGUCCGGAUCGGAGUCUGCAACUCGACUCCGUGAAGUCGGAAUCGCUAGUAAUCGUAGAUCAGAAUGCUACGGUGAAUACGUUCCCGGGCCUUGUACACACCGCCCGUCACACCAUGGGAGUGGGUUGCAAAAGAAGUAGGUAGCUUAACCUUCGGGAGGGCGCUUACCACUUUGUGAUUCAUGACUGGGGUGAAGUCGUAACAAGGUAACCGUA